This is a long non-coding RNA of Vicugna pacos (alpaca), 645 nucleotides long. RefSeq lists it as uncharacterized. The record is from RefSeq and is a predicted model, not a curated record. Lineage: Eukaryota; Metazoa; Chordata; Mammalia; Artiodactyla; Camelidae.
UAUGAUAGAAAUUUAAAGCAUUCUGAGGGUUGGGAGGAGGGUAAUAAUAUUAUCUUCAUGAAUUAUAAACUUAAAUGUGCUUGUUAACAUUUCUUAGGUGACCACUAACAGAGAAGAGUGUGAUUUCCACACAAGUGGAGAAAUGAAAGGAGAAGGAGGGGUUCAAAUGAAACACAGAGAAAGGAGACAGGACACAUCUGAAGUAUGAAACUGACGCCCAUAGAAAGGGGUGUGCAAGACAAAACCAGAAGAAAGCUGGAGCAGGCUGCGGGCAGAGGCAAGGAACACUGCAAAUUGGUAAAUGAGUCAAUUCACAGAGAAGAGCUAGUAGUUCUAAACUUGAAUGCAACUAAUAAUUGCUUCAAACACAUAAAGUAAAAAUGACAGAACUACAAAGAAAUUGACAACUGCCUACUCUGGGUGAUGUCUCUCAGGGAGCUAUUUCACGGAAAGUCAUGGGCUGGAGGGUCUUGAGGACAGGGGCUGUCUCGGCAGGAGAGAGUGGAGUGCCAGAUGCUGGGAAGAAUGCCUGGGAACAGGCAGUGUGGAAUACACUGCUCUUCAGUAGCUUCAUAAUUACCAAGAAACUCUGUCUAAAUCUAUUGAUUUAACACUACAAAUUAAAAUAAAGGUUUGAACAAGGUC